UGCAGUCGAGCGGACAGAUGGGAGCUUGCUCCCUGAUGUCAGCGGCGGACGGGUGAGUAACACGUGGGUAACCUGCCUGUAAGACUGGGAUAACUCCGGGAAACCGGGGCUAAUACCGGAUGCUUGAUUGAACCGCAUGGUUCAAUUAUAAAAGGUGGCUUUUAGCUACCACUUACAGAUGGACCCGCGGCGCAUUAGCUAGUUGGUGAGGUAACGGCUCACCAAGGCAACGAUGCGUAGCCGACCUGAGAGGGUGAUCGGCCACACUGGGACUGAGACACGGCCCAGACUCCUACGGGAGGCAGCAGUAGGGAAUCUUCCGCAAUGGACGAAAGUCUGACGGAGCAACGCCGCGUGAGUGAUGAAGGUUUUCGGAUCGUAAAACUCUGUUGUUAGGGAAGAACAAGUACCGUUCGAAUAGGGCGGUACCUUGACGGUACCUAACCAGAAAGCCACGGCUAACUACGUGCCAGCAGCCGCGGUAAUACGUAGGUGGCAAGCGUUGUCCGGAAUUAUUGGGCGUAAAGCGCGCGCAGGCGGUUUCUUAAGUCUGAUGUGAAAGCCCCCGGCUCAACCGGGGAGGGUCAUUGGAAACUGGGGAACUUGAGUGCAGAAGAGGAGAGUGGAAUUCCACGUGUAGCGGUGAAAUGCGUAGAGAUGUGGAGGAACACCAGUGGCGAAGGCGACUCUCUGGUCUGUAACUGACGCUGAGGCGCGAAAGCGUGGGGAGCGAACAGGAUUAGAUACCCUGGUAGUCCACGCCGUAAACGAUGAGUGCUAAGUGUUAGAGGGUUUCCGCCCUUUAGUGCUGCAGCAAACGCAUUAAGCACUCCGCCUGGGGAGUACGGUCGCAAGACUGAAACUCAAAGGAAUUGACGGGGGCCCGCACAAGCGGUGGAGCAUGUGGUUUAAUUCGAAGCAACGCGAAGAACCUUACCAGGUCUUGACAUCCUCUGACAACCCUAGAGAUAGGGCUUCCCCUUCGGGGGCAGAGUGACAGGUGGUGCAUGGUUGUCGUCAGCUCGUGUCGUGAGAUGUUGGGUUAAGUCCCGCAACGAGCGCAACCCUUGAUCUUAGUUGCCAGCAUUCAGUUGGGCACUCUAAGGUGACUGCCGGUGACAAACCGGAGGAAGGUGGGGAUGACGUCAAAUCAUCAUGCCCCUUAUGACCUGGGCUACACACGUGCUACAAUGGGCAGAACAAAGGGCAGCGAAGCCGCGAGGCUAAGCCAAUCCCACAAAUCUGUUCUCAGUUCGGAUCGCAGUCUGCAACUCGACUGCGUGAAGCUGGAAUCGCUAGUAAUCGCGGAUCAGCAU
Molecule: ribosomal RNA, 1316 nt
Filed under: Bacillus sp. DU156(2010)
Lineage: Bacteria; Bacillati; Bacillota; Bacilli; Caryophanales; Bacillaceae
Description: bacterial SSU rRNA
Rfam family: Bacterial small subunit ribosomal RNA
Source: RNAcentral